Molecule: non-coding RNA, 30 nt
Filed under: Mus musculus (house mouse)
Lineage: Eukaryota; Metazoa; Chordata; Mammalia; Rodentia; Muridae
Source: RNAcentral
CCGGUGUCUAAGAGAGAAAGGAAGCCUAGC